UCCCUGUCUUUGUCUACACAGUAUGGAA
Molecule: non-coding RNA, 28 nt
Filed under: Rattus norvegicus (Norway rat)
Lineage: Eukaryota; Metazoa; Chordata; Mammalia; Rodentia; Muridae
Source: RNAcentral